Molecule: long non-coding RNA, 11808 nt
Filed under: Daucus carota (carrot)
Lineage: Eukaryota; Viridiplantae; Streptophyta; Magnoliopsida; Apiales; Apiaceae
Description: long non-coding RNA (DCAR_LNC006252)
Source: RNAcentral
GAAAAUUUUGCAGCAGGAAAAUAUUUAACAGUGAUUUAUGUAACGAAAAAUGAACAAAGUUUAUUAGACUUACAACUACAUCUUUUUGUCCAGUCAAUGCAGAUUGCUCACAAGAAGAGACAGCUAGCAGACUGAUGAAGAUGGCAAUGCAGCACAAAUGUGAAUUUGGUAUUGCCAUGGAACUUCUUUCUCUUCUGUUCACUUAUUAGUGAUUUGAUUGUGAACUUGUGUGUUUUUAAUGGCUUUAAGUAGUUGUUUGCAUGCUCAGCAUAAGGAAAUCUCAUUUAUGAUCAGAUAUUGGAAGAUCCAUAAGAUUGUGAGAUAUUAUUUCAUUUUUGAAACUUUUUCAUAGAAAUAGUCUCUUCACAUAAAUUUACGUGAUUAAUAGGAUUUUCAUUAAAUUAUUUAUUAGAGAUAAUUAAUGAUAUGCAGUAAAUAUAAUAUAGGUGUUUAUUAGAGAUAAUUAAUGAUAUGCAGCAUAUACUAGUCCGAAGAGUAACCCCGACCAUCGAACACCUUAGCUAAAAGGUGAAUUGGCAUAUCAAAAUAAAAAAAAAUACAAAUAAUCGGUUGAUAAUAUCACACUCCCACCAUACUCUCCCUUACUUAUAAUUAUACCACAAAAGUUCGGUCAUUGGUCAAAUUGAUUAGAACGUAAAUCAAAAUUUCUAUAAACUAUAAUGAUCUUAGGUUCGAAUCCCGUCAACUACACAUCAAAAUAAAUUAUUAAUGUAAACACAUAGAAGAGAAUUAUUGAUUAAUAAAACGACAAACUAAUUUCAUUUACUCAAUCUUUUACAUCCACUUAAUAGAUAAUUUUAACUAUCGCCGCAUGAGAUGUAAAUUGAAAUACCUUAUUGAAGACACAACCAUGAUUCCCCAAUUUUACCGACUAAUCGCUACAAGCUUUGCCGGCUUGAUGUCUUAAAUUCGAUUAAUCGCAAAAUAUUUUUCUUAAAUUAAUAUAAUAGGCUUAAUAAAUUAAAUAUUAUUAUAUUAUUUUAAUUUAUCCGAUUAAUACCCUGAUUCAUUAUUCUAAUUAAUUUUUAAUUAUCCGACUAAUUGAUAAACAAUGACUCUUCUGAAUAGUUCAGAUUUUGCUUUUCACACUAUGAAUAAAGGUCAAUAACGCGAAAUUGAACCCCGACCUCUUUAAAGUAAGGAUUCCAAACCAUAAGGUCCAACCAGAUUUAAGAUAUCUUUCUCGCUCAUCAUGUGAAAAAUCAUUAAGAUUUCGUCUUUUUUAAAAUUAACGUCAUAAAUCACUUUCUACUAAUCAAUAUUAAAAAUAAAUAAAAUGCAUACUAAUACAUUCAAAUCAAAAAUGAAGUAUAACAACCAAAUUGAAAUCCAUUUCAACAAACAUACUAAACAUGAUUCUUGAAAACAUGUGUAGUAGACAAACAAGAAGCAUGUCAAUGGCAACUUCUCCUUUUUCCCGGGAGUUUUUGGCCUUAGCUUUUAUUCCCAUUUCAGCCAUGUCUAGCCGGACAGAUUUCUUGUCUUUUGUCUUCUCGGAUAUAUUAAGCAUAAUACUUAGUAAAGUUUCGCAAAGUCUUCUUUCUUCCUUCGAGAUGGAUGUGCACAGGGCAACCACCUCCGAUGCCUCAUGACCACGCACUUACGGUAAUUAACCAGUCUCGUUACAAUUUUGUUCCAUCAAUACAAAUAGAACACACAUUAUAUCCUUUUACAAUGUUCCCCGACAAGUUACCAUUGACUGGAUUGUCACUAAUUGUCCAUAAUAAAAUGACUCAAAGCAAAAAGUACUCCCUCUUAUAUGCAUCAUAAACUUGUUUUCCAGUUCAUAACUUUUGUAAAUUGAAACUAUCGCCGCAUGAGAUGUAAAUUGAAAUACCUUAUUGAAGACACAACCAUGAUUCCCCAAUUUUACCGACUAAUCGCUACAAGCUUUGCCGGCUUGAUGUCUUAAAUUCGAUUAAUCGCAAAAUAUUUUUCUUAAAUUAAUAUAAUAGGCUUAAUAAAUUAAAUAUUAUUAUAUUAUUUUAAUUUAUCCGAUUAAUACCCUGAUUCAUUAUUCUAAUUAAUUUUUAAUUAUCCGACUAAUUGAUAAACAAUGACUCUUCUGAAUAGUUCAGAUUUUGCUUUUCACACUAUGAAUAAAGGUCAAUAACGCGAAAUUGAACCCCGACCUCUUUAAAGUAAGGAUUCCAAACCAUAAGGUCCAACCAGAUUUAAGAUAUCUUUCUCGCUCAUCAUGUGAAAAAUCAUUAAGAUUUCGUCUUUUUUAAAAUUAACGUCAUAAAUCACUUUCUACUAAUCAAUAUUAAAAAUAAAUAAAAUGCAUACUAAUACAUUCAAAUCAAAAAUGAAGUAUAACAACCAAAUUGAAAUCCAUUUCAACAAACAUACUAAACAUGAUUCUUGAAAACAUGUGUAGUAGACAAACAAGAAGCAUGUCAGGUUAAGGAUCUAGGGUUUGUUCACUGCUAAAAUGUAUAUUCCGCCAUGUUCUACUAUCAAGUAUAACUACACAUUUAUUUUCAUUUUUAAACAAAAUAAUUUAAAUUCACAAUUUCUUCAUGCACCACACCAUGUAAGAUUAAUGGAAACCAAAAUGAAGAACUUUACAACACAUAAAAUAACAAAAGACUUGUAAAUACAAAUUGACAAUUAAGAUCGAUCACAAGCGGAAUAGUAAGAUAUUAAAAUAUUUGUCGAAAAAAAUACCUAAACUCAUUUCCAAGGGCCUGCAAAUUUCGCUCAUUCCCUUCUCGCUUGGUUUCAUUAUACAAUCUUUGCAAAUAGAGUAAUACUCGGUCGCAAAGUGAUUUGAAUGGGUAUCUAUUGCAUAUUUAGUAACGGCAGUUUUUUUGGAGUGAUAUGCACGAUAUACAAUUCUGAUCUUGAGUAAUACGCACGCUGUAUAUACAUAAAUGGUUAUAUGUAUGCGGGACAAUAUACAAUGAAUUUUUUUUAAUAUUAAUAUUGAUUUGUCUAUUUUAAUUAUAGGCACACAAUUUUUUUCUAAUCUGAUGGUGUAACUUGUGGUUCCAAGUAUAAAAUAAAUACAUGAAAUCAUUUGUGUAGCCAUGUUUGUAAAUAUUUCUAGCGCAUCAAUUUAAAUAUAAUUAAUGAAAGUAGAAACUCUAAAUAAAAAAUAUAGACAACUCAUUUUAGAAACAAGAAUUAAAACUGAAAAAACACUUAACUAGCUUCUAAAUCUUGGAGGUUUCUCAAAAAUUCCAACCUAAUAAAGUAAAUAACAAACAUAAAUUUCUUUUGCACCAUUAUUAUAUAAAUAAUUUAGUUAAAAAAAUAUAUUGAUUACAUAAUAUAGGAAAUAAUUAUUUUCACAAAGAUUAUUAUAAAACAAUACAAAACAUAUUAAUUAACUCUACUAAGAAGAAAUUAAUAAGAUAAAUUAUAUUAUUAAUAAGAAUUUUUUUUAAAAUUUGUCUCUGCUCGUGCUUCGAACAUGAAAAGGCUAGUAUCAACUUAUCAUAUAUGUUCAAUCAUCAACAUUCAAUCUCUAGCAUUCAUUAUCGUAACGUAUAUUUUAUGUGCACCGAGGAGCACAACUAAUCAUACGUAAUUUCUUUAAUAGCAUAUUUGACUUCUGCGAUGCAAAACACUCUUUGUUCACUCCUCAGAUCCUAUAAGUAAUAAAGCCUGGAGUAUAUGUUACACAUAUUCUCCAUAUUUUAUUUGUAAUUAUGAUAAGGAUGAGACAUAUUAGGCAAAUAUCUUGUCCGGGUCGACGAUGUCCGUUCUGGCAACAGGUUUUUGUCUGGCCUUAUUGACUUGUUUUUCCACUGCAUUAGGGUUCAGCUACAACCGCAGUGUCGCAUAUGUGGUGUCGCACAUGCAGAUUAAAUAUUUCGAGACCCAUGGACUUGCUUCGACUUGGUGUUAGGUUGCGAGAUAUCCCUUUAUGUCAUGCCUCGCUAGAUGAUAUGCAAAGUGAUGCGGAUUCAUCAAGUUAGUUCUUAUUGCAGCGUGGAUAUACAACUUCAAAUGUGGUUGCCUCUCUAGAUGUGAUUAUUAUUAAUUGCACAAAAGAGAUAGCCACAUUUGAAGUUGUAUAUCCACGCUGCAAUAGGAACUGACUUGAUGAAUCUGCAGCACAUUGCAUAUCUAGCGAGGCAUGACAUAAAGGGAUAUCUCGCAACCUAACGCCAAUUCGAAGCAAGUCCAUGGGUCUCGAAAUAUUCAUCUGCAUGUGGACCUACAAAAAAUGGCGAACUAGCAGAUAUCCUUCACGUACUACAGCACAUAAGCGACACUACAAUUGUAGGUGAACCCUAAUGCAGUGAAAAAACAAGGCAAUAAGGCUAGGCAAAAAACUGUUGCAGAACAGACAUCGUCGAUGCGGACAAGGUAUUUGCCUAAGAUGUCUCAUCCUUAUCAUAAUCACAAAUAAUAUAUGGAGAACGUAUGUGUAACAUAUACUCCAUUCUUUAGUAUUAAUAGAAUCUGAGAAAUGAACAAAGAGUUUCAUGCACCACAGAAGUCAAAUAUGCUAUUAAAGAAAUUAGGUAUAAUGAGUUGGCCCGCUCAGAGCAAAUAACAUAUACAUUACAAUAAUGAAUGCUAGAGAUUGAAUGUUAAUGAUUGAACAUAUAUGAUAAGAUGUUACUAGCUUUUUACCUUUUUGAAGCACUAGCCAAGAUAAAUUAAUUUAAAAUUAUUUUUUUAUUAAUAAUAAAAUUUAUCUUAUUAAUCUCAUAAUAGAGUUUAUUAAAAUAUUUUGUAUUGAUUCAUUAUAAUAUUUGUGAAAAUUAAUAUUUGCUAUAUCAUUUAAUCAAUACAUUUUUUUAACUUAAUUAUUUUAUAUAACGGUGUGAAAUAAAUUUACGUAUGUUAUUUACUUUAUUAGUAGGGAAUUUUUGAGAAACCACGGUGUGAAGAAAUGAGUUACAUAUACUUUUUACUAUUUGCAAUAAUGUUAUAAAACAUUACUAUGACGCGUCCUUGAAUGGUGACUUGGCUUGUAAAUAUUGAUACAUAAAUUGCAGAUUAAAGAGUGUGUGAAGCGUGGGAAGGGGAAGGACGCAACAACUAUGAAAAUAAGAGUGUCUGGAACUCCUACUUUGAUGUAUAGGUUGAACGUGUGGUUUAAUAAAACUCAUCUUAACCCUGACAGAAUUAUGUUGAAGAGUUCAAGAAACUCCAGAAGAAAAUGAUCUGGUCACAAAAUAUUUGGUUCCAGUUCUCUAGCUACUGAACGAGAUGGGGUCAUUGACAAAUGGACUAUACUUUAAUUCUGUGACCACACAACAAAUUAGAGCAUCUUCAUUAAACAAGAUGUAAAGAUUGCAACAAAAUGACAGAAACAAAAAAGUUGAUUUGUGCCAUAAUUCACACUGAAAACAAUGAAGACUUCCACAAACAACAAACUCAUAUAGCAUCCAACAAGUGUCACAUGAUUUAGAAAUUAUAUUGAACAAAUUUAACAUACAAGAAUCUUAGUAAAUAUCCAUUUUAGAGACUUGAAAUAUUGAUAAGUAACUCGUCCAAAGAUUAAGCGCGUAAAGACAAUAAUAAAAAUGAAAGAAAAACACUACUGAACAAAGAUAGUACACAGUGUGAUGGACUAGGAGGGCAAAAAGAUAUAUCACAUAAUUGAGACCCUGAUUUAAUGCUAUAUACGUAACUGCCAGGAGUUUCGGUUACGCGCGUAUAAACUGUAUGCCCAAAAAUAAGUAGGUUUAUGGACAAUUUAUAAAGGAUAAAAUAUUAAUAAUCUGGACAAUUUGAUUAGAUUGAAAUGAAUGGUGUCGAUCUUGGACUUCAAUAGUCUAACAUAAACGUUGACUCCAUACAAUUUUUCUCUAGUUUAUUAAUGUAAUUUUUUAAAGGGUGUUGGUGAUGAACAAUCGAUUAUUAGUUAUAUAUGUCCGACGGAAAAAAAAACGUCGGACGAGAGAAAUCCUAAAAUGAGUCAGGUUUCCGGUGGAUGAAACUGUAGCGCCCUUGGAUAUGCAUAAAAAAAUUAAGAUCAAGUCAUCCUGCGGUUUUUUUUCCGCUCAUAAUAUGCCCGAGAUACGAAUAUUUGGGAAGCAGACCCUUUUUUUAAUAUCUCCAUGAUAAAAAAAGAUUUAGGUUUUUAUUCAAUUUUAAUUUUCUUGUACAUUUAAGUUAUGUUGUCAAAUAGUUUAACAGAGAUUUUAGUUUAGUUCAAUAUUACUUUUCAAUUUGAUAUGGUAAAAAAAUUAUAUAUGUAACAUUUUUGUGAGUUGCUAUAUCCCAACCAACCAAUUAUACCCUAUUUAAGUUACAAUAACAUAAUAUAGAUAUAUGAUAAUAUUAAUUAUGUAAAAUUAAUAUUACAAAGACUUAUAAAAACAAAUUGACAAGAUCGAUACACGCGGAGCAAUAAGAUAUUAAAUAUAUUUGUGGAAGAAAAUACCCAAACUCGUUUCCAAGGGCCUUCAAAUUUCGCUCAUUCCCUUUUCGCUCGGUUUCAUUAUACAGUCUUGCAAAUAGAGUAUUACUCAGUCGCAAAUUGAUUUGAAUGAGUAUGUAUUGCAUAUUUAGUAACGGCAGUUUUUUUGGAGUGAUAUGCACGAGAUACAAUUCUGAUCUUGAGUAAUACGCACGUUGUAUAUACAUAAAUGGUUAUAUGUAUGCGGGACAAUCGACAAUAAUUCUUUUUUAAUAUUAAUAUUGAUUUGUCUAUUUUAAUUAUAGCCACACAAUUUUUUUCUAAUCUGAUGGUGUAACUUGUGGUUCCAAGUAGAAUCCAGCUCAAAAAUAAAUACAUGAAAUCAUUUGUGUAGCCAUAUUUGUAAAUAUUUCUAGCGCAUCAAUUUAAAUAUAAUUAAUGAAAGUAUAAACUUUAAAUAAAAAAAUAUAGACAACUCAUUUUAGAAACAAGAAUUAAAACUGAAAAAACACUCAACUUCUAAAUCUUGGAGGUUUCUCAAAAAUUCCAACCUAAUAAAGUAAAUAACAUACAUAAAUUUCUUUUGCCCCAUUAUAUAAAUAAUUAAGUUAAAAAAAUGUAUUGAUUACAUAAUAUAGGAAAUAGUAAUUUUAACAAAGAUUAUUAUAAAACAAUGCAUAUUAAUUAACUCUACUAAGAAGAAAUUAAUAAGAUAAAUAUUAUUAAUAAGAAAAUAAUUUUAAAAUUUGUCUCGGCUCGUGCUUCGAACAUGUAAAAACCUAGUAACAAGUUAUCAUAUAUGUUCUGUCAUCAACAUUCAAUCCCUAGCAUUCAUUAUCGUAACGUAUAUUUUAUGUGCACUGAGGAGCACAACUAAUCAUACGUAAUUUCUUUAAUAGCAUAUUUGACUUCUGCGAUGCAAAACACUCUUUGUUCACUCCUCAGAUCCUAUAAGUAAUAAAGACUGCAGUAUAUGUUACACAUAUUCUCCAUAUUUUAUUUGUAAUUAUGAUAAGGAUGAGACAUAUUAGGCAAAUAUCUUGUCCGAGUCGACGAUGUCCGUUCUGCAACAGGUUUUUGUCUGGCCUUGUUGCCUUGUUUUUUCACUGCAUUAGGUUCAUCAACAACCGCAGUGUCGCAUAUGUGGUGUAGUACGUGAAGGAUAUCUAUUGCUAGUUCGCCAUUUUUUGUAGGUCCACAUGCAGAUGAAUAUUUCGAGACCCGUGGACUUGCUUCGAAUUGGCGUUUGGUUGCGAGAUAUCCCUUUAUGUCAUGCCUCGCGAGAUGAUAUGCAAAGUGAUGCGGAUUCAUCAAGUGAGUUCUUACUGGAGCAUGGAUAUACAACUUCAAAUGUGGCUGCCUCUCUAGAUGUGAUUAUUAUUAAUUGCACAAAAGAGGCAGCCACAUUUGAAGUUGUAUAUCCAUGUUGCAAUAGGAACUGACUUGAUGAAUCUGCAGCACUUUGCAUAUCAUCUAGCGAGGCAUGACAUAAAGGGAUAUCUCGCAACCAAACGCCAAUUCAAAGCAAGUCCACAGGUCUCGAAAUAUUCAUCUGCAUGUGGACCUACAAAAAAUGGCGAAGAAGCAAUAGAUAUCCUUCACGUACUACACCACAUAUGUGACACUACAAUUGUAGGUGAACCCUAAUGCUAGUGAAAAAACAAGGCAAUAAGGCUAGGCAAAAACCUGUUGCAGAACAAACAUUGUCGAUGCGGACAAGGUAUUUGCCUAAGAUGUCUCAUCCUUAUCAAAAUCACAAAUAAAAUAUGGAGAACGUAUGUGUAACAUAUACUCCAGUCUUUAGUAUUAAUAGAAUCUGAGGAAUGAACAAAGAGUUUCCUGCACCACAGAAAUCAAAUAUGCUAUUAAAAAAAUUAGGUAUAAUUAAUUGGCCCGCUCAGAGCAAAUAACAUAUAUGUUAGUAUGUUACAAUAAUGAAUGCUAGAGAUUGAAUGUUAAUGAUAGAACAUAUAUGAUAAGAUGUUACUAGCUUUUUACCUUUUUGAAAAAACUAGACAAGAUAAAUUAAUUUAAAAUUAUUUUCUUAUUAAUACUACUCACAAAAAAAAAGCGUUAACUAAACCCACUAAAAUCAACAUAUGACCAAAGUAAUACUCGAUUUGCAAGACAGUAUAAUUGAACCAAGAGAGAAGGGUAGGGCUGUAAUUCGAGUCGAGCCGGGCGAGUUUCGAGCCGAGCCUAAUUCGAGCCAAGUUUAAUCGAGUCGAGCCGAGCCGGCUCGAUUAACUAAUCGAGCCUAAAUCUUUGCCCGAACUCGACUCGGUUAAUUUCACGAGUCGAGUCGAGCCGGCUCGUUUAGCUAAACGAGCCGGUUUUAACGAGUCGAGCGAGCGAGCUCGUAUAAUUUUAUACUUAAUCGAGCCCAAACCUCUACUCGAACUCGGCUCGUUUAAUUUCACGAGUCGAGUCGAGCCGGCUCGUUUAGCUAAACGAGCCGGUUUUAACGAGUCGAGCGAGCGAGCUCGUAUAAUUUUAUACUUAAUCGAGCCCAAACCUCUACUCGAACUCGGCUCGUUUAAUUUCACGAGUCGAGUCGAGCCGGCUCGUUUAAUUAAACGAGCCAAAACCUUUGCCCGAACCCGGCUCGUUUAACGAGUCGAGUCGAGCCGAGCCCUCUUAAACGAGUUCGAGCCGGGCGAGCUCGCGAGCCGCCCGACUCGAAUUACAGCUCUAGAGAAGGGCAUUGAGCGAAAUUUGCAGGCCCUUGGAAAUGAGUUUAGGUAUUUUCUUCCACAAAAUAUUUUUAGUAUCUUAUUGUUGUGCAUGUAACCGGUCUUGUCAAUUUAUUUUUAUAAAUCUUAUAUUUUUUAUAUUUAUGUGUUGUAAUGUUCUGCAAUUUGGUUUCUAUUAAUCUAACAUGGUGUUGUUCAUCAAGAAACUGUGAAUUAAGGUUAUAUUGUUUGAAAAUGAAAAGAAAUGUGUAGUUAUACUUGAUAGUAAAACAUGUUUGAAUAGACAUUUUAGCAGUAAACAAACCCUAAGAUCCUUAACCUGACAGGCUUCUUGUUUGUGUACUAUACAUGUUUUCAAGUAUCAUGCUGAGUAUGUCUGUUGAAAUGGAUUUCAAUUUGGUUAUUGUACUUCAGUUUUGAUUUGACUCAUUUUGUUUAUUUUUAAUAUUGAUUAGUAUAAAGUUAUUAUGAUCAUGUUGAUUUAAAAAAGACGAAAUCAUAAUGAUUAUUCACAUGAUGAGUGAGAAAGAUGAUAAUUUAGUUACUCAUAAUUUUUCUAUAAUUUUUCUAGAGGCAGUGGCAAAAAAGGCCAUGCAUCAUUAAAGAGGACAAUACGUGCAUCAAAGAACAAUUAACAAAAAUAUUUCUCGUGGAGGCACAUUGGAGGUGAAGGCCGUAAAUAAAGAGAUAACCAGGGGAGAAUAAGUAUAUCUUACUUGAGUUUUUAUUUUAUUUAUUGCCAAAAUAUUAUGCAUUUCAUUAAAAAGCCUUGAUCCAUGCUGGACAAACCCCAAAUCUCGUAAUAUGAUGAGGUUGACAAACAAAUAAAUGACCUAAAUAACUAGCCGUUUUGUUUCCAGAUCGCUUAAUAAAGAGAAUAAAAAUUAUUCUUUAAACUGAAAAAGAUUACAAUGACUUUCCAAAAAACCCAACCUACACCAUCUCUAAAAUCCGUAACAUCAUAAUUGACCUACACAAAAACAUUUUCAUGUAUAAUCUAGUGUUCAGAACUUUCAUUUGCAACAACUGAAAUUGGAGGGACACAUGCCCUCGUAAUAUGAACAAUCUUCCGCUGUGAAAGGUGAGUUUUUGCGAUUUUUACCACCGACCCAAUCUCGAUGUCGGUUUUCAAGAUCCCCGAAACAGCAAUUGAAUCAUUCUCAAUGACAAAAAUAAACAAAUCAAAAAUACCAAAAACAUACCAACCACGACAAACCCCCCCUCCAUAAGGACAAAAAAAACACGCGAAAAGAUUGGGUAGAACAGUAUUCCUUACACAAGAAAGAUAAUUAUUGAAGGAGAUAUAAAAGUUUUGAUUAUUAGAUUGGAGAAAAGAACAUGAAAGUGAAUUUUUAGGAAAGAAGAGGGCUUAAUUGAUGUAGAAAAAGGGUAAAUUUGAACUUUUUUGAGACGGCUAGCUAGGGUUUGGGGAUCGACACUCAUCGAAAGAGAGAGUUUUUGAGUUGAAUAGUAUUGAUCAAGUAAAGUUAGCUAGCAUUCAUUUUUUUAAAUGGCUAAGAAUGUUGAAUACAACUUUUGAUUUGUUUUUAAAACUGCAGUCCAGUAUGCAAAUAUAGUGGAAGACUGGACAUAGCUAAAGUAGAGCGAGUUGCGAAGAAACGAGUGAAAGUAGAGCAAGUUGCGAAGAAAUGAGUUCCAUAUACUUUUUACUAUUUGCAAUAAUGUUAUUCGACAUCACUAUGACGCGUCCUUGAAAGGUGACUUGGCUUCUAUAAAUUGAUACAUAAAUUGCAGACUGAAGAGUGUGUGACGCGUGGGAGGGGGAAGGACGCAGCAAUUAUAAAAAUAAGAGUGUCUGGAACUCCUACUUUGAUGUAUAGGUUGAACGUGUGGUUUAAUAAAACUCAUCUUAACCCUGACAGUAAUAUGUUGAAGAGUUCAAGAAACUCCAGAAGAAAAUGAUCUGGUCAUAAAAUAUUUGGUUCCAGUUCUCUAGCUACUGAACGAGAUGGGGUCAUUGACAAAAGGACUAUACUUUAAUUCUGAGACCACGCAACAAAUUAGAGCAACUUUCAUUAAACAAGAUAUAAGAUUGCAGCAAAAUGACAAAAACAAAAAAGUUGAUUUGUGCCAUAAUUCACAUUGAAAACAAUGAAACUUCCACAAACAACAAACUCAUAUAGCAUCGUUCAUUAAACAAGAUAUAAAGAUUGCAGCAAAAUGACACAAACAAAAAAGUUGAUUUGUGCCAUAAUUCACAUUGAAAACAAUGAAACUUCCACAAACAACAAACUCAUAUAGCAUCCAACAAGUGUCACAUAAUUCAGAAAAUAUAUUGAACAAAUUUAACAUACAAGAAUCUUAGUAAAUAUCCAUUUUAGAGAGACCUGAAAUUUCAAAUAGUAACUUGUCCAAAGAUUAUAAUUAAUCGAGUAAAGACAAUGAUAAAAAUGAAAGAAAAAAAACUGUUGAACAAAGAUAAUACACAGUGUGAUGGACUAGGAGGGCAAAAAGAUAUAUCACAUAAUUGAGACCCUGAUUUAAUUCUAUUUACGUAACAGGAUAAAAUAUUAAUAAUCUGGACAGUUGGAUUAGAUUGAAAUGAAUGGUGUCGAUCUUGGACUUCAAUACUCUAACAAAUACAUUGGCUCCAUACAAUUUUUCUCUAGUAUAUUAAUGUAUUUUUUAAAGGGUGUUGGUGAUGUACAAUCGAUUAUUAGUUAUAUAUGUCCAAUGGAAAAAAAAACUUCGAACGAGAGAAAUCCUAAAAUGAGUCAGGUUUCCGAUGGAUGACACUGUAGCGCC